Molecule: ribosomal RNA, 462 nt
Filed under: uncultured bacterium
Lineage: Bacteria
Description: SSU rRNA
Rfam family: Bacterial small subunit ribosomal RNA
Source: RNAcentral
AGAACGAACGCUGGCGGCAGGCUUAACACAUGCAAGUCGAGCGCGCCCUUCGGGGUGAGCGGCGAACGGGUGAGUAACGCGUGGGAACGUGCCCCUUUCUUCGGAAUAGCCUCGGGAAACUGGGAGUAAUGCCGAAUACGCCCAUUUGGAGUGAUCCAUUUGGGGAAAGAUUUAUCGGAGAGGGAUCGGCCCGCGUUGGAUUAGGUAGUUGGUGGGGUAAUGGCCUACCAAGCCGACGAUCCAUAGCUGGUUUGAGAGGAUGAUCAGCCACACUGGGACUGAGACACGGCCCAGACUCCUACGGGAGGCAGCAGUGGGGAAUAUUGGACAAUGGGCGCCAAGCCUGAUCCAGCCAUGCCGCGUGUGUGAUGAAGGCCUUAAGGGUGUAAAGUCACUUUCACCGGAGAAGAUAAUGACGGUAUCCGGAGAAGAAGCCCCGGCUAACUUCGUGCCAGCAGCCGC